Conger conger (European conger) is the source of this 431-nucleotide long non-coding RNA. RefSeq lists it as uncharacterized. The transcript has 2 exons. NCBI's taxonomy places the organism in Eukaryota, Metazoa, Chordata, Actinopteri, Anguilliformes, Congridae. The record is from RefSeq and is a predicted model, not a curated record.
GUCGUCGGCAUGAUGUACAUUCUCUCGGCGACCAUGGCCACAACCAACUGUGCAAAGGGCGAGGACGAGACCAAGUGUGAUAUACAUGAAGACCAACGCAUCGCAUUCUACGAGCGAUGCACUUUCCAUGUGUGGGAGAAUCCCUGGCACGGUGGAUACGAGGUGCCUGCCGUUCAGUGCGUGGCCUAAGAGCAUCAAGAAGAAGAGGCUGCAUUGCUGAUGAUAAUCACUGAUGAUAAGAGUCUCUGACUCCAUCAACCUGGGCUAGUGGAUACCGAAUCAACCACAUUUCUUCACCCAUAUUCUGAAGUCCAUUACAUUUUUUGUACGUUGUUUGUUAUUCAUUACGCAAAAUUUUGAAAAAAGUUGAGUACAAGCUUUGCAAUAAAUCAUUACAUUGGAACUAGUAUAAUAAAUGACUGUUAAAACAC